AGAACGAACGCUGGCGGCAUGCCUAACACAUGCAAGUCGAACGCCCCGCAAGGGGAGUGGCGGACGGGUGAGUAACACGUGGGAACCUGCCCAAUGGUCUGGAAUAACCGCGGGAAACUGCGGCUAAUACCGGAUAAGCCCGAGAGGGGAAAGAUUUAUCGCCGAUGGAGGGGCCCGCGUCCGAUUAGGUAGUUGGUGGGGUAACGGCCUACCAAGCCUACGAUCGGUAGCUGGUCUGAGAGGAUGAUCAGCCACACUGGGACUGAGAUACGGCCCAGACUCCUACGGGAGGCAGCAGUGGGGAAUAUUGGACAAUGGGGGCAACCCUGAUCCAGCAAUGCCGCGUGAGUGAUGAAGGCCUUAGGGUUGUAAAGCUCGUUUUGGCGGGGACGAUGAUGACGGUACCCGCAGAAUAGCCCGGCUAACUUCGCGCCAGCAGCCGC
This 443-nucleotide ribosomal RNA is filed under the name uncultured bacterium. RNAcentral's name for it is "SSU rRNA". It matches the Rfam family "Bacterial small subunit ribosomal RNA", at positions 26 to 518 of the family's 1533-position model. The record is from RNAcentral.